Lathyrus oleraceus (garden pea) is the source of this 523-nucleotide long non-coding RNA. RefSeq lists it as uncharacterized. NCBI's taxonomy places the organism in Eukaryota, Viridiplantae, Streptophyta, Magnoliopsida, Fabales, Fabaceae. The record is from RefSeq and is a predicted model, not a curated record. The transcript has 2 exons.
UUUCUAUAACAAUGACAUCUCUUUUUAUUCUCCAACAAAUCUAUUCUAUCUUCACAGUGUACAAUUACUCACUACUGUAUCUACCAUCUUAUUUUACUAACUACACCAACCAUCAACCAUGCAUUAAGGCUUUUACUACAGUAUUUAUGAACACGAUGAUGUUGCAGUGAAAAUUUAUGACUACGACUAUCACUGACCCCAACAAGAAUCGUCAAGACCAGCCCCAACCACGUAAAUCUCUGCUUAUGUCAUACUAUGCUCUUUUCGAGGAAUAUAAUGCCGCUGCUGAAAAUUCUCCAACCACUGCAAGUUUGAGUCGCAAUAGUGAUAUGAUGUCUUCUCUUGAUGCUUUAGAAGUUAUCACUCAAACUGGAGUUAAUAUUAUAUGUAUAUAUAUCCUUUUGAUUACCAUGUGGCACUACUGAAGCAUGUUCUUCUAUAACACUGUACCCACCAUGAUAACGUAAAAGUAACUUGUGGAAAAUGACUCAAUUAGCUUUAAUAUAACUAUUCCUAAAAUCUA